CUCUUCCUCCGCCGCAGCUUCCAAGGCGGGGCUCAGCCCUUUCUCCUCCGCCUGAGCGCUCUUACUGCGGGAAUCGCACGCCCACUUUCAACGACCACUUCCUCAACUCUUCAAGCUUAAUUCUGCGAGAGGCCGGGAUCCCACUUUGUGCAGACCGAUUCUUACUUUCUUGGAGCAGAUCGCUUCAUUUUAGCAUCCAGGGGGACACAGCAUCCAGGGGGACAAGUGCCAGAACGUUCCAGAUUAAUGGGAAUAUUCCUAUUUAAAUCAGCAACCUGGAUUUAAGUCCUGCUCCACCAUUUGCUAUCUAUGGGCUGUUUCACGUCCCUGUGCCUGGAUUUCCUCACACAUUAAAAAAAAAAGUGUGUAAUAAUAUAGUGGUACCAGCCACGGGCUUCUGAGGAUGAACGGGACAGUGCAUUGCAAAGCUCUGACAACGGAGCCUGGCACAUACAAAUGCCAUAUGUGUGUAUUUUUGUUUCUUUGUUUUUAAUGUGUAACUGAACUACUUUUUAAGCGCCUCCUGUACGUCAGGGAUGGGGCAGUGAGCGAAACAGUCCAUGCUCCUAGCACAAACAGUUGACAAAUAAUUGACUAAUAAACCUACAGGAGAUGGGAAGCAAUUUGAAGGGUUGCGAGCAGAGAAAGGACGUGGAAUGACAUUUCAGGAGGAUCCCUGUGGCUGUGGUAUGAGGACCAGACUGAAAGCCCUGAGGGUUUCAGCAGGGGGACCAGCGAGAAGCCUGUUGAAAUCAGCCAGCCAAAAGAUAAGACUGUCCGGCCGGGCGUGGUGGCUCGCACCUGUAACCCCAGCACUUUGGAAGGCCGAAGCAGGGGGAUCACCUGAGGUCAGGAGUUCGAGACCAGUCUGACCAGUAUGUUGAAACCCCGUCUCUACUACAAAUACAAAAAUAACCCCAGCUACUUGGGAGGCUGAGGCUGGAGAAUUGCUUGAACCCGGGAGGCGGAGGUUGCAGUGAGCCGAAAUCGCGCCACUGCACUCCAGCCUGGGCGAUAGAGGGAGACUCCAUCUCAAAAAAAAAAAAAAAAAAAAAAAAAGAUAAGGCUCUGUCCAGGGUGGUGGCAGUAGAAGAGUAAAAUGAUCACCUGUAGACACGUUUAAAAGGUGGCUCACGCCUGGAAUCCCAACACUUUGGGAGUCCAAGGUGGGAGGAUCAUUUGAGGUCAGUUCGAGAUCACCAUGCCCAACAUGGUGAAACCCUGUCUCUACUAAAAACACAAAAAUUAGCUGGGCAUGGUGGCGGGCACCUGUAAUCCCAGCUAUUCGGGAGGCUGAGACAGGAGAAUCGCUUGAACCCGGGAGGCAAAGGUUGCAG
RNAcentral lists this long non-coding RNA (1337 nucleotides) under Homo sapiens (human). Its description in RNAcentral is "non-protein coding lnc-GPR55-4:1". Lineage: Eukaryota; Metazoa; Chordata; Mammalia; Primates; Hominidae. The record is from RNAcentral.